GGUACGUGAAAUGCGAUGUGUGGAACUAAGCAUGCGACAAGUAGGGCGGGACACGUGACAUCCUGUCUGAAUAUGGGGGGACCAUCCUCCAAGGCUAAAUACUCGUAAUCGACCGAUAGUGAACCAGUACCGUGAGGGAAAGGCGAAAAGAACCCCGGAAGGGGAGUGAAAUAGAUCCUGAAACCGUGUGCAUACAAACAGUAGGAGCGGACUUGUUCCGUGACUGCGUACCUUUUGUAUAAUGGGUCAGCGACUUACAUUCAGUGGCAAGGUUAACCAUAUAGGGAAGCCGUAGAGAAAUCGAGUCCGAAUAGGGCGAUCAGUCGCUGGGUGUAGACCCGAAACCAAGUGAUCUACUCAUGGCCAGGAUGAAGGUGCGGUAACACGCCCUGGAGGUCCGAACCCACUAAUGUUGAAAAAUUAGGGGAUGAGCUGUGGGUAGGGGUGAAAGGCUAAACAAACUUGGAAAUAGCUGGUUCUCUC
RNAcentral lists this ribosomal RNA (483 nucleotides) under Salmonella enterica subsp. enterica serovar 1,4,[5],12:i:-. RNAcentral's name for it is "partial 23S ribosomal RNA". It matches the Rfam family "Bacterial large subunit ribosomal RNA", at positions 374 to 859 of the family's 2925-position model. The record is from RNAcentral. Lineage: Bacteria; Pseudomonadati; Pseudomonadota; Gammaproteobacteria; Enterobacterales; Enterobacteriaceae.